UCUCCGUUGGUGAACCAGCGGAGGGAUCAUUAUCGAGUUUAUAACUCCCAAACCCUAUGUGAACUUACCACUUGUUGCUUCGGCGCGCGCUUCGGUGCCGCCGAGGACACUUAAACUCUUUGUUUUUAUAAGCAUUUCUGAGUGGCCGAAAGGCAAAAUACAAAUGAAUCAAAACUUUCAACAACGGAUCUCUUGGUUCCG
Molecule: unclassified non-coding RNA, 201 nt
Filed under: plant metagenome
Description: partial contains small subunit ribosomal RNA, internal transcribed spacer 1, and 5.8S ribosomal RNA
Source: RNAcentral